UGUUGAUUUUGGCUUAAUCCCAAGUCCCACAUCGGUGGGUUCAUUGUUUGGGAAGGAGGUUUGAGGGUUAUAAAUUAAACUCUCCCCCUUCACUGUUAAAUAUCCCAAUUUGUAAUAUCUUCUCUCAUAGUAAUAAAAGUGAGCUGUUUUUGCUGUGCUCGGAGAUUAGGCUAAACAGGCCGAACUCCGUUAACAAUUUUCGGGUGUGUUCUUUCCUCUUUAUCUCUUUUAUUAUUCCGCUUUAUUUAUUCAAUAUUAUUU
This 261-nucleotide long non-coding RNA is filed under the name Phaseolus vulgaris (common bean). Its description in RNAcentral is "long non-coding RNA (PVUL_LNC000348)". The record is from RNAcentral. Lineage: Eukaryota; Viridiplantae; Streptophyta; Magnoliopsida; Fabales; Fabaceae.